UACGUAGGGUGCAAGCGUUGUCCGGAAUUAUUGGGCGUAAAGAGCGUGUAGGCGGUCCGAUAAGUCCGCUGUGAAAGUCCAGGGCUCAACCCUGGAAUGCCGGUGGAUACUGUCGGGCUAGAGUCCGGAAGGGGCGAGUGGAAUUCCUGGUGUAGCAGUGAAAUGCGUAGAUAUCAGGAGGAAUACCGAUGGCGAAGGCAGGUCUCUGGGCUGACACUGACGCUCAUGCACGAAAGCGUGGGGAGCAAACAGG
Molecule: ribosomal RNA, 253 nt
Filed under: uncultured bacterium
Lineage: Bacteria
Description: partial 16S ribosomal RNA
Rfam family: Bacterial small subunit ribosomal RNA
Source: RNAcentral